This 301-nucleotide ribosomal RNA is filed under the name uncultured bacterium. RNAcentral's name for it is "partial 16S ribosomal RNA". It matches the Rfam family "Bacterial small subunit ribosomal RNA", at positions 509 to 807 of the family's 1533-position model. The record is from RNAcentral.
CAGUAGCCGCGGUAAUACGAAGGGUGCAAGCGUUAAUCGGAAUUACUGGGCGUAAAGCGUGCGUAGGCGGUGAGUUAAGUCUGCUGUGAAAUCCCCGGGCUCAACCUGGGAAUGGCAGUGGAUACUGGCUCGCUAGAGUGUGUCAGAGGAUGGUGGAAUUCCCGGUGUAGAGGUGAAAUUCGUAGAUAUUCGGAAGAACACCAGUGGCGAAGGCGGCUCACUGGCUCAUACUGGACGCUGAGGUGCGAAAGCGUGGGGAGCAAACAGGAUUAGAUACCCCGGUAGUCCCUGUCUCUUAUAC